AAAUUAAUAUAGGUUAGGUUUAUUUAUUUAGUUAAAAAGGAAAUAAAACAAAAAAGGUUGUGAGGUAAAGUCAAAAUUUAGGUUACCAUCAACUUUAUUCUUUUCUUCUUGGCCAAACUCUAGGGGAGUUGGAACCCAGGUUUUUCUUUUUCAAAUUCUUCAUGAUUGAGCUGAAAUGACAAGGAGUGGAGGUUGGUUAAGCAUUGAGGACUCAAAAGUGUCGGGCAUCGUUCCACUCAGAUUGGCCCACAUACUUGAUUUUGGACUUGAGGUAAGAAGAUUAGCAGUUUUAUUCGGCCAUGAGUCAGAGGUCUCCCAGCAAAACCGUGGGGUCUUGGCUUCUGGGAAGCAGGAUCGAAUUCCCUUCUAUGUUUGAAAAUGUAACCUACUGUAAACAAUUUUUUUUUUUUUUUUUUUUAUAAACAGGGGAACCCUAUAUUACGACAGUAUUUAAAAUGAAAGUCUUUAUUUUGAAUUUAAUUAAAGAUUUAAAUUAAACCACACUUUUCCAAAAUUUAUAGAUUAGUGAUAAUAAGUUUAUAAAUGCACACACGUGGCGUCCCUGAGGGUCAGGGCGUUACACACACCAAAUAAGGUAGUUAAGCAAUUGUUCAGUAAUUCAGGAAACUGCUUCUUUCAGAAAGUUGAGCCUUCCCUUUUCUCUCUAUAUAUAGCCGACCCUCUUCUUCUUCUUCUUCUUCUUCUUCUUCUUCUACACAAGAGAUACAAUUUUGAAAUACCUAGUGAGAGAGUAGUGCCCACACACAGUAAACAGUACCUCAAUCAUAGUUUGGAAGACUGUGAAGGAUCAAAUCCAAGAGAAGGACAUUCGGACUCAGAUCUUGAUUAUACUCUGCAACAGAAAGGAUACAAGGGUUAGAGAUCUGAGUGGAAGGAGACAUAUUAUUCCGCUGCACCCAAUGUAAGGUUUCUCAUACUUUAUAUGUGUUUACUUAUCAUCGUUUUAGAAGUUCAUAUUUAGGUUGUUAAUCAACAUACUUGUGAGUAGAUCUAAGAUCCUGGUAAAAUAAUUCCAACAACUGGCACCAGAGCCAUGGUAAUUGAUUUGCUUGCAAGAAAUUUGGACUUAAAACGAUUUGUUUGUGAUUUGGAUGGUAUCAGGUUGUUGUUUUGUGUGUUGUAUUGAUGAUUGAUUGAUAUUUGUGAAAUUCUGGGAAAAAUAAUUGAAUUUUCGAUUCUGCAAUUAUUUUUAUUGGAUAGUUUGGAAAAAAUUAAGCAAUUUACUUUUUUACAGAACUCAAUUUCGAUUUUAUUUGAAAUAGUUAUGAAUUUUUGAAAAUUGGGAAAAAUCAGGGUGGUGAUCAACCUUCCCACGCUCGCGGAAUGGCUGCUUGCAGCCUCCAGCGCCAAGGAAUCUCCGCCCAGCCUCCCCUUGUGUGCGCGCGGGUGGUAUGCUGUGCAUACCAUCCUUACAGCUCACCAAUUUUUCCGUUUUCUUCGAUUUUUCAUGCUAUUUCAUGGAAUUAACUUCUGAUUUUUUGUGUAGUUUUGUAUUUUGAUUUUUAUUUUUCAUAUUUCAAAUCUAAUUAUCAGAAUUAAAUUAAUUUGAUUUUUCAAAAUUAAUUUUAGAUAUUAGUGUAAUUUGAAUUUGAAAAUAGGUAAAAAUCUAUUUGUGUUUACUUCUUUUCUUAUUUUAAAAAAAUUUGAUUAUUUUAUCUUAAUUUUAAAUCUAAGGUCAGAUACUAAUUUUUUUUUUUUUUUUUUUUAUAAAAUAUUCUAUUUUAAGUAAUUUGACCUUAUUUA
Long non-coding RNA from Cannabis sativa, 1764 nucleotides. RefSeq lists it as uncharacterized. NCBI's taxonomy places the organism in Eukaryota, Viridiplantae, Streptophyta, Magnoliopsida, Rosales, Cannabaceae. The record is from RefSeq and is a predicted model, not a curated record. The transcript is spliced from 3 exons.